AAGUGUUACAGCUCUUUUAGAAUUUGUCUAGCAGGUUUUCCGGUCCUCAUCAGAAGACCCCA
This 62-nucleotide small nuclear RNA is filed under the name Propithecus coquereli (Coquerel's sifaka). RNAcentral describes it as "U7 small nuclear RNA (ENSPCOG00000008200.1)". It matches the Rfam family "U7 small nuclear RNA". From Rfam's summary of the family: Animal histone pre-mRNAs are spliced by a different mechanism than nuclear pre-mRNAs and self-splicing introns. This processing involves the U7 snRNP, which contains only one RNA species: U7. The 5' end of U7 RNA is thought to base-pair to a conserved spacer element downstream of the cleavage site in histone pre-mRNA. Lineage: Eukaryota; Metazoa; Chordata; Mammalia; Primates; Indriidae. The record is from Rfam by way of RNAcentral.